Hordeum vulgare subsp. vulgare (domesticated barley) is the source of this 1146-nucleotide long non-coding RNA. RefSeq lists it as uncharacterized. The transcript has 2 exons. Lineage: Eukaryota; Viridiplantae; Streptophyta; Magnoliopsida; Poales; Poaceae. The record is from RefSeq and is a predicted model, not a curated record.
UGCACCCUCUACCCCGGCCCCAACCGGAGGCAUGGCCCCACUACCAACCGGAGUCACUACCUUUGCCUCACCACGCCCCAACCGGAGACGCCGCCGCCUCAAGAUCCUACCACCGUCACCGUCGCCACGACCAAAAAUCAAGCACCGCGGCCGGAUGCUCGUUGCGCCCGAGCGCCGCCACACAUGGAACCGGCCAAAUCCGGCCAGAUCCGAUUUCGACCGCCCCUGCCUCCCGUCCACUGUCCCCACGCUGCCCUGGUCUCCCCCACCUUCGCCAGUACCUAGCUACAACACCGGCCAUCUCCCGCCAAGGAUCCCGCUGUCGACCACCGCCACCCACCGCCCGAUACAUCGCCGCCUCAGCGGAUCCACUCCACUCCUCCGUCUCCUAACGGAUGCCCCUGGCUCAUCUUGCUCCUCAUGUCCUCCCUCACGUUUGCAUCAACAAAGAUAGGUGGGCCGGUGCAGUCCAUUUCGUGCCACAGCAGCCGGUCAACUCUUCCAGAACGCAUCUCGAAUUGGCCCCAAUUUUGCGUGCAUGGAGGUGGUGCUGCUCCAGUGAGCUCCUUCAUCCCCAACCCGUCCCCUGAUUGCGGCCGCUGCACCACACAGAGGGUGCUCGCACAUCUCUUAUGCCAGAAUGCGGGUAUCCUUGAUCACAACCACCAUGAUGUCUCGGUGUCGGGCCAGUCACCCCAUCACACUGCUCUCUUGCAUCGCAUCAGCUGGCUAAGUGAUGGCGUCAGUCCUCCAGGGACAAUGCAAGGUGCUGGUUUCCUAUGAAGUUUCGUUAUGCAACACCAUUUUACCCCUGUCUUCCUCUUCCAACAAAUCAAAAGUAGUCUACGAAAGAAUGAAGGCCUUGUGUUGGACAUCUCUAAAUCUGUUUGAAAAAAUUUCUGAAAAAUGUGAUCCUUUGGAGACGUCUUUCUGCAAUUUCCCUCGAUUAUUCUUAAACCUGGUAGGUAUGAUGGUAUAAACAGACUGAUAAGUGUUAUGUUAAUUAUCUGGUACGUGGAUGCUCUCUGUCAUUGACAAUAUUUUGGAGUGGUCAAUUUACCAAACCAGUGGUUGCCUUCAUUGUAUACUCUUCUCAUCCUUUGCAGCAAGUGAUAUUGUUUCGGUUGUCGGUUUUUUCUUUGCAAA